GAGGGAUCGUGAGACAGUCUCGCAAUUACUGGACUCUGUUGUCACUGGAAGAGGAUGUGCAGCCACCUCAACCGAUGUCAAAGAGAACUCAGAUCCAGGGACACGACAGGAAGCUCAUGAUGAUGGAGAGGUGCCACAUUCAGCUGGAGCAACGAGAUCCACUAAUGAAGAUGAUGGAGGUGGUAACAGUGCCAACUUAGACACUGAUGAUGACACAAGUGAUGUU
Hippocampus comes (tiger tail seahorse) is the source of this 226-nucleotide long non-coding RNA. RefSeq lists it as uncharacterized. The transcript is spliced from 3 exons. The record is from RefSeq and is a predicted model, not a curated record. Lineage: Eukaryota; Metazoa; Chordata; Actinopteri; Syngnathiformes; Syngnathidae.